This 250-nucleotide ribosomal RNA is filed under the name uncultured bacterium. RNAcentral's name for it is "partial 16S ribosomal RNA". It matches the Rfam family "Bacterial small subunit ribosomal RNA", at positions 525 to 775 of the family's 1533-position model. The record is from RNAcentral.
ACGUAGGGGGCGAGCGUUAUCCGGAUUCAUUGGGCGUAAAGCGCGCGCAGGCGGCCUGCUCGGUCGGGAGUCAAAUCCGGGGGCUCAACCCCCGCCCGCUCCCGAUACCGGCGGGCUUGAGUCUGGUAGGGGAAGGCGGAAUUCCCAGUGUAGCGGUGGAAUGCGCAGAUAUUGGGAAGAACACCGGUGGCGAAGGCGGCCUUCUGGGCCACGACUGACGCUGAGGCGCGAAAGCUAGGGGAGCGAACAG